This 565-nucleotide ribosomal RNA is filed under the name uncultured bacterium. Its description in RNAcentral is "bacterial SSU rRNA". It matches the Rfam family "Bacterial small subunit ribosomal RNA", at positions 338 to 917 of the family's 1533-position model. The record is from RNAcentral.
CCUACGGGAGGCAGCAGUGGGGAAUCUUGCGCAAUGGGCGAAAGCCUGACGCAGCAACGCCGUGUGCGGGAAGAAGGCUCUCGGGUUGUAAACCGCUUUCAGCAGGAACGAAAAUGACGGUACUUGCAGAAGAAGGUGCGGCCAACUACGUGCCAGCAGCCGCGGUGACACGUAGGCACCAAGCGUUGUCCGGAUUUAUUGGGCGUAAAGAGCUCGUAGGCGGUUCGGUAAGUCAGGUGUGAAAACUUUGGGCUCAACCCAAAGCCUGCAUCUGAUACUGCUGUGACUAGAGUUCGGUAGGGGAGCGGGGAAUUCCUAGUGUAGCGGUGAAAUGCGCAGAUAUUAGGAGGAACACCGGUGGCGAAGGCGCCGCUCUGGGCCGAAACUGACGCUGAGGAGCGAAAGCGUGGGUAGCAAACAGGAUUAGAUACCCUGGUAGUCCACGCCGUAAACGUUGGGCACUAGGUGUGGGUCUCAACCAACGAGAUCCGCGCCGUCGCUAACGCAUUAAGUGCCCCGCCUGGGGAGUACGGCCGCAAGGUUAAAACUCAAAUGAAUUGAACGG